ACGGAAGGCAGCAGUGGGGAAUAUUGCACAAUGGGGGAAACCCUGAUGCAGCGACGCCGCGUGAGUGAAGAAGUAUUUCGGUAUGUAAAGCUCUUUAAGUUGGGAAGAUAAUGACGGUACCAACAGAAUAAGCCCCGGCUAACUACGUGCCAGCAGCCGCGGUAAUACGUAGGGGGCAAGCGUUAUCCGGAUUUACUGGGUGUAAAGGGAGCGUAGACGGCAUAGCAAGUCUGAAGUGAAAUCAUAGGGCUCAACCCUGUAAUUGCUUUGGAAACUGUUAAGCUCGAGUACCGGAGGGGCAGGCGGAAUUCCUGGUGUAGCGGUGAAAUGCGUAGAUAUCAGGAAGAACACCGGUGGCGAAGGCGGCCUGCUGGACGGUAACUGACGUUGAGGCUCGAAAGCGUGGGGAGCAAACAGGAUUAGAUACCCUGGUA
RNAcentral lists this ribosomal RNA (434 nucleotides) under uncultured Lachnospiraceae bacterium. Its description in RNAcentral is "bacterial SSU rRNA". It matches the Rfam family "Bacterial small subunit ribosomal RNA", at positions 341 to 792 of the family's 1533-position model. Lineage: Bacteria; Bacillati; Bacillota; Clostridia; Lachnospirales; Lachnospiraceae. The record is from RNAcentral.